RNAcentral lists this long non-coding RNA (291 nucleotides) under Elaeis guineensis (African oil palm). Its description in RNAcentral is "long non-coding RNA (EGUI_LNC082805)". The record is from RNAcentral. Lineage: Eukaryota; Viridiplantae; Streptophyta; Magnoliopsida; Arecales; Arecaceae.
GGGUUGUUCAGGGCCACGUGGAGCUCAUUGCGAAGACUGGAGUGGUGUCCAUCGUCAGGACUUGCUAGAGAGUAGUGGAGCUGCAUGAAAUCCGUUGCAGGGAGUGGAGCAGGAGGGUGGCUCUUGUCGCGACUUGUCAGAGAGUAGUGGAGCUGCAUGGAAUCCGUUGCAGGGAGUGGAGCAGGAGGACGGCUCUUGUCGUGACUCGUCAGAGAGUGGUGGAGCUGCAUGGAAUCCGUUGCAGGGAGUAGAGCAGGAGGGUGGCUCUUAUCAUGACUUGUCAGAGAGCUC